Molecule: transfer RNA, 85 nt
Filed under: Gammaproteobacteria bacterium HGW-Gammaproteobacteria-1
Lineage: Bacteria; Pseudomonadati; Pseudomonadota; Gammaproteobacteria
Description: tRNA-Leu
Rfam family: tRNA
About the family: Transfer RNA (tRNA) molecules are approximately 80 nucleotides in length. Their secondary structure includes four short double-helical elements and three loops (D, anti-codon, and T loops). Further hydrogen bonds mediate the characteristic L-shaped molecular structure. tRNAs have two regions of fundamental functional importance: the anti-codon, which is responsible for specific mRNA codon recognition, and the 3' end, to which the tRNAs corresponding amino acid is attached (by aminoacyl-tRNA synthetases). tRNAs cope with the degeneracy of the genetic code in two manners: having more than one tRNA (with a specific anti-codon) for a particular amino acid; and 'wobble' base-pairing, i.e. permitting non-standard base-pairing at the 3rd anti-codon position.
Source: RNAcentral
CGGGGCGUGGCGUAACUGGUAGCCGCACCAGACUUAAAAUCUGACGGCCUCGGCCGUAGGGGUUCGAUUCCCCUCGCCCCGACCA